This 524-nucleotide ribosomal RNA is filed under the name uncultured Chloroflexota bacterium. RNAcentral's name for it is "bacterial SSU rRNA". It matches the Rfam family "Bacterial small subunit ribosomal RNA", at positions 356 to 896 of the family's 1533-position model. Lineage: Bacteria; Bacillati; Chloroflexota. The record is from RNAcentral.
GAGGAAUAUUGCGCAAUGGGCGAAAGCCUGACGCAGCAACGCCGCGUGAGGGACGAAGGCCUUCGGGUCGUAAACCUCUUUUCUGGGGGAAGAGCAAGGACGGUACCUCAGGAAUAAGUCUCGGCUAACUACGUGCCAGCAGCCGCGGUAAAACGUAGGAGGCGAGCGUUAUCCGGAUUUACUGGGCGUAAAGCGUACGCAGGUGGCUUCGUUAGUCGGACAUGAAAGCUCCUGGCUUAACUGGGAGAGGCUGUUCGAUACUGCGAGGCUUGAGGUUGGGAGAGGGACGUGGAAUUCCCGGUGUAGUGGUGGAAUGCGUAGAUAUCGGGAGGAACACCAGUGGCGCAAGCGGCGUCCUGGCCCACACCUGACGCUGAGGUACGAAAGCGUGGGUAGCAAACAGGAUUAGAUACCCUGGUAGUCCACGCUGUAAACGAUGUCAACUGGGUGUCGGUAGUUUUACACUAUCGGUGCCGAAGCUAACGCGUUAAGUUGACCGCCUGGGGACUACGGCCGCAAGGCUA